GACGAACGCUGGCGGCGUGCUUAACACAUGCAGGUCGAACGGAAAGGCCCUGCUUUUGUGGGGUGCUCGAGUGGCGAACGGGUGAGUAACACGUGAGUAACCUGCCCUUGACUUUGGGAUAACUUCAGGAAACUGGGGCUAAUACCGGAUAGGAGCUCCUGCUGCAUGGGGGGGGUUGGAAAGUUUCGGCGGUUGGGGAUGGACUCGCGGCUUAUCAGCUUGUUGGUGGGGUAGUGGCUUACCAAGGCUUUGACGGGUAGCCGGCCUGAGAGGGUGACCGGCCACAUUGGGACUGAGAUACGGCCCAGACUCCUACGGGAGGCAGCAGUGGGGAAUAUUGCACAAUGGGCGGAAGCCUGAUGCAGCAACGCCGCGUGCGGGAUAACGGCCUUCGGGUUGUAAACCGCUUUCGCCUGUGACGAAGCGUGAGUGACGGUAAUGGGUAAAGAAGCACCGGCUAACUACGUG
RNAcentral lists this ribosomal RNA (468 nucleotides) under uncultured bacterium. RNAcentral describes it as "partial 16S ribosomal RNA". It matches the Rfam family "Bacterial small subunit ribosomal RNA", at positions 28 to 507 of the family's 1533-position model. The record is from RNAcentral.